AUGCCUUUAUGGCAUGAUCAUGUGAAAAAGUACCUUGAUGCAGUAAUGGAUUUGAUUAUCACUGGUUACUCUGUUUUCACGAAUUACUAUCCAACUGUAACAAAGCAAGCAUAUAGUUACAGAACAAAAGGAUAUAGUCAUUUUUAUGUUCCUACAAGUAAAUGGCAGCGACAGAGUGGCACCCAGCCAACAAAGGAUUUCAGGCCGAUCAAUACCCUUAUGCCAAUAUACAUGGUUCAGUUCUGGACCACAACAGUUCACAUUUUUGUUACUGAAAACCCUGAGGGCCUCAACUAUCAAUGA
RNAcentral lists this ribosomal RNA (303 nucleotides) under Triticum aestivum (bread wheat). Its description in RNAcentral is "partial small subunit ribosomal RNA". Lineage: Eukaryota; Viridiplantae; Streptophyta; Magnoliopsida; Poales; Poaceae. The record is from RNAcentral.